This is a long non-coding RNA of Homo sapiens (human), 725 nucleotides long. Lineage: Eukaryota; Metazoa; Chordata; Mammalia; Primates; Hominidae. The record is from Ensembl.
GACCACAUAGGAUUGGUAUGCAAAAUUGUAUCAGAAAAUUAGAUGAAACGCAAUUGUUAAAACAUAGUGAAGUCUGUUUCAGACGUGCUGUAUUGGCACAACUAACCAGAUAGGUAAUAGCAGAUGCUGCUGAGGAAAUGAAGGCAACUACACAACUACUGUGGGAAACAGAUGGGGACCAGGGAGUAAGGUGACGAUGUGUGCGCCAAGUGGCCUAAAAACCCGUGAGGAAACUCACACGGUGCAUCAAAUAUGAGAGUGUUCACAGCAGCACUGGGAGCAGCCCAGCUCUCCAUCAAAAGUCAUGCAUUCCUUCAGUGGAAUAAAUAAAUGAAUUACAGCUACAGAAUCUCAGGAACAAAAUGGUAAGCUAAAAACCAAGUAACUGAAGAAAACAUAAUAUUUCACUUAUAUAAAGAUAAAAAAGUUUUAAAACUAAACAGUGUAUUUUUAAGAGAUUCAACUGUGUGUGGGAAAAGCAUAAAGAAAAACUAGAGAAUGAUGAACAAAAAUUCAAGACAGUGGUUGCCUCUAAGGUGGGGAAGGGCCAUUAUCAGUUCAAACUGGAAAAUGGUGCAAAGGGACCUUCAAAAAUGAUGAUACUCUCUUAAACUGUAUGAUCAGUACCUAAGUGUUUUGUGCUAUUGAUAUUCUUUGUGUCAUACCCAUUUUUUUCAUAUUUAUUAGAUAUUUAAUAAAACCAGUUUUAAAAAAUACAAAUCCAA